GACGAACGCUGGCGGCGUGCCUAAUACAUGCAAGUAGAACGCUGAAGGAGGAGCUUGCUUCUCUGGAUGAGUUGCGAACGGGUGAGUAACGCGUAGGUAACCUGCCUGGUAGCGGGGGAUAACUAUUGGAAACGAUAGCUAAUACCGCAUAAGAGUAGAUGUUGCAUGACAUUUGCUUAAAAGGUGCAAUUGCAUCACUACCAGAUGGACCUGCGUUGUAUUAGCUAGUUGGUGAGGUAACGGCUCACCAAGGCGACGAUACAUAGCCGACCUGAGAGGGUGAUCGGCCACACUGGGACUGAGACACGGCCCAGACUCCUACGGGAGGCAGCAGUAGGGAAUCUUCGGCAAUGGACGGAAGUCUGACCGAGCAACGCCGAGUGAGUGAAGAAGGUUGUCGGAUCGUAAAGCUCGGUUGUAAGAGAAGAACGAGUGUGAGAGUGGAAAGUUCACACUGUGACGGUAUCUUACCAGAAAGGGACGGCUAACUACGUG
This 495-nucleotide ribosomal RNA is filed under the name uncultured bacterium. RNAcentral describes it as "partial 16S ribosomal RNA". It matches the Rfam family "Bacterial small subunit ribosomal RNA", at positions 28 to 507 of the family's 1533-position model. The record is from RNAcentral.